CAUCGACGUUCUCUGGGGAGGACGAGUGUAUGGCGAUGAAAUCUGUGAAGCAAAUCCCCAGCUGCCACAUUUAUGGUAAUACUUAUCCCCAUUUGCCUCUCCUGUCUGUCAAUACCAUCACAAAUAAUCAUCCCCUGGAACAGCAAUCACUCAGUCAACGUACAGAGUCCCAGGUAUGCCGAUGGUGGCAGUGUCCGUCCGCUCUCGCCUCCGUCGGUCAGUGCAUGUCGUUCCAAAACAAGCUGCCUCGGGCAACGGCAGCAGAAGUGCGACCUGGGAGACGACCGAGUCGGAAGGUUCAUACGAGGAGCAUCCGGCGUGGAACAACCGUCGACUCUCGCUCUGUUACUGCCCACGGUGGCUUUUGGGACGACACAUUCCGUGCGUUCUCUACAGAUAUGGUCAAAAUUUGCAAAUAGUGUGAGGUGAUUAUGGCGCCGUGACCCUCUCAAGCCGUAGCAAGUGAAAUGUGUUAUGUGGUCCGGCCAGUGCACACACACACACACACACUCGGGCGAUCGCGGACGAGGGAGGCUACCCAACACCCCGGACGACACUCGCUAAACCGAGGCGACGACAGUUAUCGUUGGUGCAGAGGUCGGCCUCGUCGUCUGCUCGUAAGGCUACGGGUCAGAGUCGACAGAUACAGCGAGAGACACGAGCGGAGACAGAUUGUGCAGCUGGUGUUUAACGGCCAUUUGGACAAAGAUACCUCUCGAUACUGUAUAUGUUUGUGAACUUGUAGAAGAUCUCUGUGAUUAUUGUAUUAUGACUUGUGUGUGAUGCAUGUGUCAUUCCUGUAGAGUUACAGUGUUGUAAAUAUUAUGUUAAUUUGUAUAGCUCUAAGAUUUAUCAAGGUUUUUUUUUUUUUAGUUUUACAGUAGAGUAAUUGUAAUGAAAGUAAUAUUGUUCCUCCAUGCUGACAAAGUGAAGAUGGAGGACGAUUGUGCAAGUUGAUACUUAUCGACAAUGAAUUUAUCCAAGAAGUCGUCUAGAUUUUGGCGAGAAAAUUAGCACUGUUGACACGUUGCAAAUACAUUGUAGCAUUUUGAAUUUCAUCGGAUUGGGAACCGUGGCAUUGACGCGAUUUUUGCGGGAGAAAAUGGUUUGCAAAAGUUGUAUUAAUGAUUGGAUAGGCGAAACACUUGAAAUGAUAGGCAGCAAGUUUUUUGUACUAUUUUACCGUGGACUAAAACUGCAUGGCAAAGCGAAAAGCACUCCGGGGGUCGCCACUACCGUAAUCGUCAGACGAAGUUGUGGGAUAUUUCUGUAACGUAUAUAAUUGUGAGUUACGGGGAGCGGAGGUGCGGAUAUCUGCGUAACUCAAAGAUUACAUACGAUCGUUUACUUUAUUGACGUUAUACCGUAGAGUGAAGUUUAUUGUGUACUUUGUUGGUUAGUACAGUAUAGUGCAUGUAAUGUUAUGUCGUUUGUAAGAGACUACGCAAUUUGGGUAAUGCGCGUACUGUCUCCUACAAUACCAGGAAUACUUACCUAACUCUAAAACCACCACCACUAUGAGGUUUGCCAGCAGAAACACUAAAGGGCGUUUUUCCCAGCCGAGAAAAGAUGCUCCGCCCCCUCAGCGAGAGUUACCGGCGAUUGGCCUUUGCAGAUCCGUCCAAUUUUAUCCAGAAUCAAUGACAUAUUUGUAAAUUGGUUUAUUAAUAACGGUUGGAAUGAUCAUUUCUGCCGAGAAAGAUAUUUAUGUAAAUUCUAUAAAGAUGCUUACAUUCAUUAUUUCAGAAAGGAGCACGUAGCAAGUUUACGAGAAAUCCCGUACGCGAAUUAACUGUUAGUGCGAUAGGAAGUCGACGUUUUGGGAGGGUGCAUUUAAUAUAUACUGUACUUAUUUUGACCCACAAUAAGGCUUACUAUGACAAAUUACGUAUCAGUAAUACUACAAAAUGUAAAGAGAACAUUUUAAAAGAUGAGAAUCACAUUGAAAUUUUACACAACCGAGAACAAGUUCACAUUUUCCCGCCUCUGCCGACGGGACAAAGUCCGUCACGCUCGUCUACUAAUUUUCGGGGGCCGUGUAAUAUUUCAAUGCGAUUCCGAUGUUUUAAAAUGUUAGUUUUUGCAUAAUGUAGUUUUACCGAUACGUAAUUUGUUUCGGUACGACUCGCUGCGGGUAAAGAUAAGUACACGUUAAAUGCAUGCUCCGAAAGUACAAAUUUGUUAGCAGAGUUUUAAGAGUUAAUUCACGUAUGUUUGAAAUAACGAAUGUAAGUACAGUAAUACCCCGCUUAACGUGGUUUCACUUUCCGCGAUUUCUCAUUUACGCGGUACCUUGCCAGAAAUGGACUUUCACUUUCCGCGGUGCAU
This 2328-nucleotide unclassified non-coding RNA is filed under the name Homarus americanus (American lobster). Its description in RNAcentral is "neurobeachin-like, transcript variant X1". Lineage: Eukaryota; Metazoa; Arthropoda; Malacostraca; Decapoda; Nephropidae. The record is from RNAcentral.